Molecule: ribosomal RNA, 680 nt
Filed under: Anaerocolumna aminovalerica
Lineage: Bacteria; Bacillati; Bacillota; Clostridia; Lachnospirales; Lachnospiraceae
Description: partial 23S ribosomal RNA
Rfam family: Bacterial large subunit ribosomal RNA
Source: RNAcentral
GGUCAAGCUAAUAAGAGCGCAGGGUGGAUGCCUUGGCACUAAGAGCCGAUGAAAGACGUGAUAAGCUGCGAUAAGCUACGGUAAGGAGCAAAUAUCCAUUGACCCGUAGAUUUCUGAAUGGGGAAACCUGACGGAGUAAACCUCCGUUACUGUAUGGUGAAUACAUAGCCAUGCAGAGGGAACCCGGGGAACUGAAACAUCUAAGUACCCGGAGGAAAAGAAAGAAAACUCGAUUUCCAAAGUAGCGGCGAGCGAAAUGGAAACAGCCUAAACCAAAGGAUUUAUCCUUUGGGGUUAUGGACCGCAAUAAGUGAGAUGUAUGAUAGUAGAACGGUUUUGGGAAAGCCGGCCAUAGAGAGUGAAAGCCUCGUAUACGAAAUCAGAAGUCAGCAAGCGGUAUCCAAAGUACCACGAGACACGAGAAACCUUGUGGGAAGUCGGGGGGACCACCCCCCAAGGCUAAAUACUACUUAGUGACCGAUAGAGCAUAGUACUGUGAAGGAAAGGUGAAAAGAACCCCGGGAGGGGAGUGAAAGAGAACCUGAAACCCUGUGUUUACAAGCUGUGGAACACCCUUAUGUGGUGAACCGCGUACUUUUUGUAGAACGGUCCGGCGAGUUACUUUUACUGGCAAGGUUAAGAACGAAAAGUUUGAAGCCGAAGGGAAACCAAGUCUGAAU